RNAcentral lists this long non-coding RNA (3753 nucleotides) under Arabidopsis lyrata. RNAcentral's name for it is "long non-coding RNA (ALYR_LNC001842)". Lineage: Eukaryota; Viridiplantae; Streptophyta; Magnoliopsida; Brassicales; Brassicaceae. The record is from RNAcentral.
UUAAUUUCGUUUGGUAAUUAAUGUUGAUGAUGCGUACCUUGUCCGUUUUGUGCAGAAGUAAUCACCACAUGCGUCUUCUGGGACCUCGAGGAUUUCAUACUCCCUGAUAAUUUAAAUCCUUUUUAUGUUUAUCGUAACCUGUCAUCAGCUCUUAAGAGUAAGGGUUUAAUUGGUGGGUUGAAAAUCUGGUUCUAUUAUGGAGGUGAUCUAGAUUUCACGGAUGAAAUCGCGGAUAAGUAUGAAGAGCUCGAUACCUUCUUCUUUCGCCUAGGUGAUAUAUAUUCUUCUAUUGAAAUCUUUUUUUUUUUUUUUACUUAUAACAUAUAUAUGCGUGUCUGUAAUCUAAGAUUUAUUUCAAUCUAUAGAAGGGGAUAUAUAUGAGAAAGCUACAAGGAUUAUGAGGGACGCUCUUCUCUGGUCAGUGGACAAUCCAGUGCGUGACGACAUUCCUGAACAAGCAAAUUUGUUUAUUAUCUCUAAUAAAUUCUCUGGAGAAGAAACCAAGGAACUCCUCAGUUAUCUGCAAGCUUUGGAAUCGAGAAAGUAUAAUAUUCUCUUAGCACUUAACGAACCCGAAUCAUGUGAAGCGCUGCUUCCUUCUGUAAGCUUGGAAUGGCUUUGGCAUAGAAUAUUAGGUGCUGGUGAUGAUCUUGAAGAUGAUGUUGACAAUACUACUCUUUGUAACUUGUGCAACAAGGAAGAAGAGUUGAAGGCAGCCAACCUUAAGAUUUUGGAGAUGGAGAAAGCACAAGCUGAACAAGACAAGGUGCUAGCUCAACAAACAAAAGAGCUCGAGUAUUUUAAGAAUAUAGUAUUUAACCAAUUUCCAAACUUGGUUCUUCCAACCAAUUCCUCCCACCCGAGACGAUAAUUAGUAUUGUGUAUUUUAUGUGUUUAUGUUAUAUCUUUUAAUUUUUUUUUUUUUUUCUAUUGAUUUGUUGAGACUUUUUUUUGGUGAGCAUUGAUUUGUUGAGACUUGAGACUAUUGGUUAUUGAUUGAUAAUUAAACUGAAUCAAGAGGUAGAGCUACGUCAAAAAAAUGUUGAGUCAUAUGACACACCGUACGUUUGGCAAAGGAGAAGAUAACAAAAAAGAAAAGCAUAGUUAUUAAUAAAAAAGAAAUGUCGUUGACUUCUUUUUUUUUUGGGAAAAAACCCGGAAAAACCGCUAUCUAUUUUUUUUUGGCCGUUUAAUACGUGUGUUUUUAAAUUUGGAAUAAAAAUACCUCGUUUAAUUGUUGUUGUCUUUUAAAUUCUUUGUUUUUUAAAUUUUGGUAGAUUCAUACAUCCGCGUUAAUGAUAACGGAAUCGUUAACCAGAGUUAAAAAUUAACCCAUAGUGUUUACGUAUAUAUAUACAAUCUCUUUUCAAACGUGUACGAAGAUAUUAUCUUAGUCUGUUGGUUAAACGUGGGAUAUAAUAUCUUUUGGGCCUGAUGAGUUCGAGUCCUACCUUGGAUUUUUUAGGCGUUUUAAUUUUUUUUUUUCUUCUUGUCGUUACUCAGAUCCGGUUAACGAUUCAGAUGAAGAAGAGGACGAUUGUGCUUAUCGAUGACUUCAGAUCCUAGAUUAGCUUCCGAUUUCGCUUGGAUUAUCUUCGAUUUCGUCAUUCCGAGCAUAAAUACGCGAAGCUUAAUGGCAGAUUUUCCCAUUCUCUUCUCUUUGAUUUCUUCGUUGUUGCAGAAGAAGAAAUUUGUUCAGAUUUUGGUUCCAAAAUUGUUGAGAUGGUAUUGGCUUUCAUUGGUGAUGGACUCGUCUUCUUUUGUGUUCUUUUGGUGUCCACUCCAUGUUUUAGCUUAAGGUGGUGGUUCUGGUGGAUUUUGCCGGCGGAGUAACGAGAAGAAGAAAAGAAAAAAAAAAUCUUAAAGAAAAUUAAAAAAAGCUGCAGAUCUGGGUUUCGAACCCUAGUUCUAUGGGCAGAAAAAUAGACCUCUCACCACCAGACCACGGUAAUAAAUACCUAAAUAAAGUCAAACAUGUUUUAUAUACCUAUUUAAAUACGUGGAGUUAAUUUUUAACUAUGGUUAACGAUUCCGUUAACGCGGAUGUAUGAAUCUACCAAAAUUUAAAAAACAAAGAAUUUAAAAGACAACAACAAUUAAACGAGGUAUUUUUAUUCCAAAUUUAAAAACACACGUAUUAAACGGCCAAAAAAAAAAUAGAUGGCGGUUUUUCCGGGUUUUUUCCCUUUUUUUUUUGAUUAAAUUCUCCCAAAUCCUUUCAAUAAAUCUCACCAAAUCACUAGUGAUUUUUUUUUUUUAAAAAGAAAUCAAACAAAUCAACCCAACUAUCCUAAAAUUUUACUCAAAUCACUCCAAAACCUAAAAUAUAGAAAUUCCACCAAACCCCUCCAAAUAUUUAAUUCAAUACACCCCCUUAGUACUUCUUAUUUUAGUUAUUGUGAAUCAAAUAUUUAAAAAUUAAAUUUUCAAUUCAUAUUUGAUAGUAAUAUUUUUGAACAUUAUUUUGGUCACUAAUUUUUGAUCAUUCAUUUUGUCAGUAACAUUUGAUCUUUUUUUUUGGGUCAGUAAUUUUCGACCAAUUUAUGACCCCAGUUUAUUUGCGAGCAGCGGUUUUUUACGACUUAAAUUAAAAGAGAACAGUAAAUGAACGUGUCAAUUGUACUUGAUAGUCUCUCAUCCGUAACCACAUGCUUAGCCCAAACCCUAAUUGUUUUCUUUUUCUUUUGAUUCUCUAUAAGACCAUGAGCAGAUAAUUCAACAGUAAGAUCACUGGCUAUCUCUUGCUCGAUUUUUUUUUUAAAUGAUACGUUUUAAUAAUCUACAAAAGCCGACAAAUUAGAUUAUUGGAGAUCCAACGGCUGAAAAGAGAACAUGCCGAAGAUCUCUCUCUCAUGGGCAGCAAUAUAUAAGCCAGUACCCAACAUUAUCCUCUCAUCCGCCGAUCUAAACCCUAAUUUCUUGUCCAUCGAAAUCAUGUCGGAUGAACACGACGGUAAGAUCUCUCUGUCUCUUGCACUUAUGUUUCUGAUUAUAACCUCUCUGUAUUUUUCUUGCUCAGAAUUGUUUCUGAUCAUAAUCAGGCUCUUGUCUAUCAUACUAAAUUAUAAUUCGAUCAAUCUGUCUUAGUAAAAUCAAUGGUUGGAUGGAUCUAAUCGAUUGUAUUCAUGAUCCGAUUGUAUGAUGAUGCUUUCUCCGUUUUUGUGCAGAAGUGAAAGUGAUUACCACAUGCGUCUUCUGGGACCUCGAGGAUUUCGUAGUCCCUGAUAAUUUAAAUCCUUUUUAUGUUUAUCGUAACCUGUUAUCAGCUCUUAAGAGUAAGGGUUUUAUUGGUCGGUUGAAAAUCUGGUUCUAUUAUGGAGGUAAUCUAGAUUUCACGGAUGAAUUCGUGGACAAGUAUGAAGAGCUCCAUACCUUCUUCUUUCGCCUAGGUGAUAUAUAUUCUUCUAUUUAAAUCUUUUUUUUUAUAUACUUAUAACAUAUAUAUGCGUGUCUGUAAUCUAAGAUUUAUUUCAAUCUAUAUAUAUAUAUAUAUAGAAGGGGAUAUAUAUGAGAAAGCUACAAGGAUUAUGAGGGACGCUCUUCUCUGGUCAGUGGACAAUCCAGUGCGUGACGACAUUCCUGAACAAGCAAAUUUGUUUAUUAUCUCUAAUAAAUUCUCUGGAGAAGAAACCAAGGAGCUCCUCAGUUAUCUGCAAGCUUUGGAAUCGAGAAAGUAUAAUAUUCUCUUAGCACUUAACGAACCCGAAUCAUGUGAAGCGCUGCUUCCUUGUGUAAGCUUGGAAUGGCUUUGGC